UACGGAGGGUGCAAGCGUUAUCCGGAUUCACUGGGUUUAAAGGGUGCGUAGGCGGGUAUAUAAGUCAGUGGUGAAAGCUCCGAGCUUAACUUGGAAACUGCCAUUGAUACUGUAUAUCUUGAAUAUCGUAGAGGUCAGCGGAAUGUUGCAUGUAGCGGUGAAAUGCUUAGAUAUGUUACAGAACACCAAUUGCGAAGGCAGCUAACUAUGCGACAAUUGACGCUGAGGCACGAAAGCGUGGGGAGCAAACAGG
Molecule: ribosomal RNA, 253 nt
Filed under: uncultured bacterium
Lineage: Bacteria
Description: partial 16S ribosomal RNA
Rfam family: Bacterial small subunit ribosomal RNA
Source: RNAcentral